UACAGAGAGUGCAAGCGUUAAUCGGAAUUACUGGGCGUAAAGCGCACGUAGGUGGACAAUUAAGUCGGAUGUGAAAUCCCUGGGCUCAACCUAGGAACUGCACCCGAUACUGGUUGUCUAGAGUAUAGUAGAGGGAAGUGGAAUUUCUGGUGUAGCGGUGAAAUGCGUAGAUAUCAGAAAGAACACCAGUGGCGAAGGCGGCUUCCUGGACUAAUACUGACACUGAGGUGCGAAAGCGUGGGGAGCAAACAGG
RNAcentral lists this ribosomal RNA (253 nucleotides) under uncultured bacterium. RNAcentral's name for it is "partial 16S ribosomal RNA". It matches the Rfam family "Bacterial small subunit ribosomal RNA", at positions 524 to 776 of the family's 1533-position model. The record is from RNAcentral.